Molecule: ribosomal RNA, 253 nt
Filed under: uncultured bacterium
Lineage: Bacteria
Description: partial 16S ribosomal RNA
Rfam family: Bacterial small subunit ribosomal RNA
Source: RNAcentral
UACGUAGGGUGCAAGCGUUGUCCGGAAUUAUUGGGCGUAAAGCGCGUGUAGGCGGCCAUGCAAGUCGGAUGUGAAAGCCCUCGGCUCAACCGGGGAAGUGCACUCGAAACUGCAAGGCUAGAGUCUCGGAGAGGAUCGUGGAAUUCUCGGUGUAGAGGUGAAAUUCGUAGAUAUCGAGAGGAACACCGGUGGCGAAGGCGGCGAUCUGGACGAUGACUGACGCUGAGACGCGAAAGCGUGGGGAGCAAACAGG